RNAcentral lists this long non-coding RNA (2436 nucleotides) under Homo sapiens (human). RNAcentral describes it as "HSALNT0375148". Lineage: Eukaryota; Metazoa; Chordata; Mammalia; Primates; Hominidae. The record is from RNAcentral.
CUCCCAAAGUGUUGGGAUUACAGGCAUGAGCCACCGUGCCCGGCCUAGCAAGGGCUUUCUAUGAUUCCGAGUAUAUAGAAAUCAAAAGCAUUUUAGAUUCCCAUAAGGUUGAUCAAAAGUAUAGGAUGUCUUCUUUAAAAUAUAUGAAUUUACUUUGAAUAAGAAUGCUCAUUGUAGUACAUUAUGGAUAAAUGCACAUUCAACUUUUGUUUACCUGGUUCUUUAAUCCAGUCAUAAGGAAAAAAAGACAGUUUGUCAGCAGUGUUUAAAUGUAUGUGUCUUGGAUCAAUUUAAAUGCUAUAGAUACUCCAGUUUUACAGUCAUAUUCUAGAGCAAAGUAAACACUUGGAAGAUGGCUAUGGCAUGGGAUAAUUUCCUUUUUGUAAAAACAGUUUUUACAUCAAACGGUUUUACAUCAAACUGUCUCUGUUUGUCUCAUCAGAGAAGUAUCAAAAGAGAUAGAAAUUAUUUUAAAUAAUGAACUAACUGGAAAUUCUGAUGUUGAAAGGCACAAUCACUGAAAUGAAAAAUUCACUAAACAGGCUUAACAGCAGAAUCAAACUGGCAGAAGUAAUCAGCAAACUUGAAUAUCGACUUCAUAAAGUUUAUAUAAACUUGAUCAAGACUAGGCAAUCUGAAACACAGAGAUCAAAAGAAGAGUGAAGAAAAAUGAGCAGAGCCUCAAAGAACUGCACCAACAUGCACAUAAUGGUAGUGCCAGAAAGAGAGGAGAGAAAAGAGCAGAAAAAAUAUCCAAAGAAAUAAUGACCAAAAAUUCCCCAAAUUUGAUAAAAAACAUCAAUCUAUACACCCAAGAUCAAGGAACUCCAAGUAGGAUGAGCACAAAGUGAUCCAUACCUAGAAACAGCAAAGGAAAAAUGCUGAAAAACAAGAGAGAAAAUAUUGAACGCAGCAAGAGUAGAACAACUCAUCAUGUAUAAAGAAAUCCCCAAUAAGAUUAACAGCUGACUAAUCUUCAGAAUUGAUUAGAGGAAGACAGAAAGUAGUGGUAUUAAAUAUUCAAAGUACUGAAAGAGAACUGUCAAACAACAUCUUAUAUUCAACAAAACUUUCAGAAAUGAACAUGAAACAAAAUAUUCCUAGAAACAAGAACAUAAUUUUUGUGAGCAGGACCCACCUUGCGAGAAAUACUAAAGGAAGUCAUUCACACUGAAAGAGAACACAAGGAUUUGUGAGAAAGAUGAGAAGUUGAAAUCAGGUUUAUGAUGAAUUUGAAAUGCCUAUAAAACAAGAGAAAAUGCAGCUGUCAGAUCCCUGUGGAGGAUGUGCACAUUGCCAUCCCUGCUUGCUGUCCCUCUAGCCAGAGGGACAUGAUGGCUGCCCUUUGUGGAAGAAGAACUUGCCCAUUUUAUGCAUGGCACGGCUCACUGCCGCAACAAACAUCGGCACUGGUUUAAAAAUGGCUGCGUGCAGGCUGGCCAGUGACUCUCUUUUGAGAUGUUCAGGCAUGAAAGUCUCUGCCCAACACAGUGACGAAGGCAGAGGGAAUUCCCUAAAGCAGUCAAAUCAUUCCCUGUCUUCAGAAUUUUCUCUGAGGGAUAUAGAGGGGAACGACUCACCAGAAGAGGGAGAAUGUCCAUGGAUGGAGAGAAGCAGUGGCUACAGGAAACCCUGAGUGAAACGCAGAGAGAAAUUGCUUUCUAGCACUGCGUUGCAUCCUUUCAUUUCUGCAUGUAUUUAAAUCAUAAGAAUACACAAACACAUCAUCUAAAGGAUCUCAAUGACUUUCAGUAAGAAGGCCUUCAUACAAUUCCCAUACGAAUUCCAUUUUUUAUGGCAAGGUUACUCCGUAUGACUCACCCUAAUUGUUCUGGAACAAGAACUGACAGAAAAGAAUUGGACUGUCAUUCCUGAUGCAAAAGGGUUUACAAACAUCCUUCUAAAAGAAGACUUCCACCUGAGAAGGUUGAUGGAGGACCUCUUGUCUACGUACCUGUUAGACUGGGGCACGGUCACCUUAUUGUGGGAGUUAUAGGUAAGAAAAAUUAGAGAGCAGCUUAUUUUGGGGGCCAGGAUAAUAACAAGUUAUUUUUAAAAGGUCUUGGAAACUUGCAGAUGCAAAGGGAAAAAAACAAAAAACAAAAAACAAUCCUAAUGGUAAAAACAAGUAAGUCUGACUGCGUCAUUUUGUAGUAAGACAAUGAGGAAAUGGGAACUCGUCAGAGGGUAACUGGGUGGUGCCUGUAAAAGUGAAGAUGUGCUUCUCCCUCAGCAGGCAUUUGCUGGGAAACCCUUGCAGACGUUACAAGCACAGUUGUAGAAAAUAUCUAUUAGAGCACUGUUUGUAACUGAAAAAUGUUUCAUUCAUACUUUGAAUGUAAAGAAUAAAAGUGAAUGAAAAAAUGGAAGCAUUGCACCGUGCUUUUGAUUUACAUUUCCCUGAUCAUUUAGUACAACCACCAUGGAAAACAGUGU